RNAcentral lists this ribosomal RNA (460 nucleotides) under uncultured bacterium. RNAcentral describes it as "partial 16S ribosomal RNA". It matches the Rfam family "Bacterial small subunit ribosomal RNA", at positions 338 to 795 of the family's 1533-position model. The record is from RNAcentral.
CCUACGGGAGGCAGCAGUGAGGAAUAUUGGUCAAUGGACGAGAGUCUGAACCAGCCAAGUAGCGUGAAGGAUGACUGCCCUAUGGGUUGUAAACUUCUUUUAUAUGGGAAUAAAACGUUCCACGUGUGGGAUUUUGUAUGUACUAUAUGAAUAAGGAUCGGCUAACUCCGUGCCAGCAGCCGCGGUAAUACGGAGGAUCCGAGCGUUAUCCGGAUUUAUUGGGUUUAAAGGGAGCGUAGGUGGAUUGUUAAGUCAGUUGUGAAAGUUUGCGGCUCAACCGUAAAAUUGCAGUUGAAAAUGGCAGUCUUGAGUACAGUAGAGGUAGGCGGAAUUCGUGGUGUAGCGGUGAAAUGCUUAGAUAUCACGAAGAACUCCGAUUGCGAAGGCAGUUCACUAGACUGCAACUGACACUGAGGCUCGAAAGUGUGGGUAUCAAACAGGAUUAGAUACCCGUGUAGUC